Non-coding RNA from Caenorhabditis elegans, 21 nucleotides. NCBI's taxonomy places the organism in Eukaryota, Metazoa, Nematoda, Chromadorea, Rhabditida, Rhabditidae. The record is from Ensembl.
UUAACUCGUAUUGGUUUUUGG